UGCCCUUUAGCUCAGACGGUCAGAGCAGCCGGCUCAUAAUCGGCAGGUCCCGUGUUCGAUGCACGGAAGGGCGACCA
RNAcentral lists this transfer RNA (77 nucleotides) under Burkholderiaceae bacterium. RNAcentral describes it as "tRNA-Ile". It matches the Rfam family "tRNA". From Rfam's summary of the family: Transfer RNA (tRNA) molecules are approximately 80 nucleotides in length. Their secondary structure includes four short double-helical elements and three loops (D, anti-codon, and T loops). Further hydrogen bonds mediate the characteristic L-shaped molecular structure. tRNAs have two regions of fundamental functional importance: the anti-codon, which is responsible for specific mRNA codon recognition, and the 3' end, to which the tRNAs corresponding amino acid is attached (by aminoacyl-tRNA synthetases). tRNAs cope with the degeneracy of the genetic code in two manners: having more than one tRNA (with a specific anti-codon) for a particular amino acid; and 'wobble' base-pairing, i.e. permitting non-standard base-pairing at the 3rd anti-codon position. Lineage: Bacteria; Pseudomonadati; Pseudomonadota; Betaproteobacteria; Burkholderiales; Burkholderiaceae. The record is from RNAcentral.